GACGAACGCUGGCGGCGUGCUUAACACAUGCAAGUCGAACGGUAAGGCCCUUCGGGGUACACGAGUGGCGAACGGGUGAGUAACACGUGGGUGAUCUGCCCUGCACUUCGGGAUAAGCCUGGGAAACUGGGUCUAAUACCGGAUAGGACCACUGCCUGCAUGGGUGGUGGUGGAAAGCUUUUGCGGGGUGGGAUGGGCCCGCGGCCUAUCAGCUUGUUGGUGGGGUGAUGGCCUACCAAGGCGACGACGGGUAGCCGGGCUGGGAGGGUGACCGGCAACACUGGGACUGAGAUACGGCCCCGAGUCCUACGGGAGGCAGCAGUGGGGAAUAUUGCACAAUGGGCGCAAGCCUGAUGCAGCGACGCCGCGUGAGGGAUGACGGCCUUCGGGUUGUAAACCUCUUUCAGCAUCGACGAAGCGAAAGUGACGGUAGGUGCAGAAGAAGGACCGGCCAACUACGUGCCAGCAGCCGCCGCAG
Molecule: ribosomal RNA, 478 nt
Filed under: uncultured bacterium
Lineage: Bacteria
Description: partial 16S ribosomal RNA
Rfam family: Bacterial small subunit ribosomal RNA
Source: RNAcentral